AAUAAUAAUAAUAAUAAUAAAAGUUCGGGAUCAAGUAAUAUUUGUCCGUAUGUAUUUUUUUAAUAGCCCAUACUGAAGCAGCACAUGUUUUCCAGCUUUAAAAUUACGUGAUCAUUUAAAAUAAUGUCUGCAAAAGAAACUGGUAAUAUAGAACAUAAUUGUAGCCCAGUGGUAAAAUACUACUAACGUAUAUACAGAAAUUCUGUAUAGACUAUAUUUGGAAGGCUUUAUGACCUGUUUUCAGCAGAGCAGACUCAGAGGGAGGAGAGGUGUUCUCAUGGCCAAUGUGGCGUUGUGUGUUAAACUGAUCUCCCGAGAGCCAAUGGAAAUCGUCCCUGCAAGAGUGGGAGGGAGUCUCAGGGAAAAGUUUUGAAAAAAAAAGAGAAUCGAGGGGAGUCUGAAAAAAAUAACAACGGGAGCUAGAAUAGAGCAGUACAGAGUAAGUGAUUCAGCAGAGUAAAAGUGAGGAUUUCUUAAGUCAGGAAAUUCCUAUAAACUUUAGUAGACAGUACUUCAGUUUAAACAAGUUUCAGAAGAGUAUUCUGUUACUUCUGCUUUUAUUUCUUUUGAGUUCACGUACCAAGCUCGUGUUUUAUUUUAAGCAGCAUAGGUCUGUCAGUUUACGUAGUCACUCAGUGCGAGUUAUUUUCUUUAGGCAUUGUUAUAUACAGUCUUGUUAAAACAACAUACUGUAUUGCAAAGUUUAAGUUUAUGCACCAUUAAUACGUGCUUGAAAUGAAAGUAAAGAGACAGUGACUAGCUCGUAAAAUAAACGAAGCAAUUGAGAGGCAGCUGGACAGUGUUUCAGAAGGAAGGACCACGUUUCCAGAUAGAGAGAGCGAGGUAGACUGCGGCGACAGAGAGGUUUGCCGUGAUCCAGAGACCGCAAGCAACCGAGAGCUACAACUGGGAGAAGCCUUUCAGAAUUGUGAGUUUUUCCACAAAGUGUUUUGUUUUAAAAUAGCAAGCAUAACUGUGUAUUUUCAGUAAAGCUUGCGAAGGGGCCAUUUUGUUUUAUUUCUAGGCCACAACGUACCCAAGCCACGAUUCAGGCCUGCAACAGUGUUUGUUUGUUCGUCUGUCUACAUGUGUGUUACACGUGGGGCUGGAGUGCACUCGACUAGCGUUUAUUUUGAAUAGAAUAUAUUGGAAGAGUACAUUUGAGUUAAAUACCACUGAAGCAUAGAGCUUUUAGUUACUGUUUAGUGACUUAAAAAGUUACAUUUUGGGGAAAGUAUUUUGUGGUUGGAAUUUUUUAUAUGGUAUGUACAAUUUACUUACCUGCAGUUCAUUAUAUUAGUUUAACUUGAAUCCCCAUUUAUAAAGAUUAUUUUUAUAUAAAAUUCAGUACUGUGUGUGAGUGUGAUUUUAUUAGUUGUAUAUUGCUCUUGCUUAAUUUGCAUUUGUUAUAUGAUUGAAUAUAAGUUCCUGUGGACGCGUGCCAAUAAUAGGGAAACCACGUGACCAUCAGGUGGAGGCAUCGCUAAAGAAGAAAAGUAAGUGUGAUAGUUUAUGUCUGGUUACAGUGUGCAAAAACAAAAGGACCAUUGGUUCUGGGAUAAUAGAUAAGAAUCCAGGGCCCUUACUGUUAGGUGCAAGACCUAUUUGUGUAGGGGUAAGUGAGACAAGUGUUACAUCUUUUUUGGAGGCUCCGCUGGGAUCUACCCCCUGUACACCGUUACCGUAUCGCGUACUGCACGUAUUGUUUACAGUUUUCAAAAUGUUUCUGAAUCGCCCAGACCAAGGUGCGCUGAUUGCAUGGCGCCGCGGAGAAAGUGUAAAUGUGAACAAGGCCAUUCUGUUUACUGGAGUGCCAAAGGGCACUGAGGUUAGUCAGGUGGAGGAGGUACUGGGCACCAUUCGGGUGUUAGGUCGCGUGAGAGUGCGUGGGCAAAUGUUUAAUACAGUACUAGAUAGUUUCGUUGUACUAUGCGAGUGCCGCGAGACAAUUGAUGUAGGACGGGUCCCCACUGAAGUGCUACCAGUGGAGGGCGCUGCCCCUUGGAGUAUAAUUGUGGCAGGUAGAGCUACCCCUGCUCCCAUAGAAGUCGCAGAGGGGACUGUUACUGAGCCGCUUAUGUCUGAAAGUGUAAAUUUGACUCAGCAGGAUGCCAAGGCUGCCAAUACUACUGAAGCCAUACUCCAGGCUUUGGAGAAGGUGCUGCUGAAAGGGACAAAGCCGGAUAACGGAAAUAAUUAUUACCGCAGAUUGCGGGUAUUUUCAGGAACUGUACCCACUCCGGCAGGAGAGGAAGAUUUUGAUGGCUGGAGGGAUCAAACACUGAUGAUGAUUCGAGAAUGUGACUGCACUGACCGUGAGAAGCGGAAGCGGAUUGCAGAGAGUGUGAAGGGCCCUGCCUUGGACAUUCUCCAAGCAGUGCAGGAGGCUAAUCCAAAUGCUGGCCCCUUGGACUAUGUCAACGCCCUUGAAACCACAUUUGGAUGUCCUGAUUCAGGUGAAGACCUGUUUUUCAAGUUUCGUGCCACUCAGCAACAGCCCACUGAGAAACUGUCUGAAUUCCUGAGACGCUUGGAGCCCAUGCUGAAGCUGACAGUAAGGAAGGGAGGUAUUGCACUUGACCAAAUCAUUUGUGGUGCAGCUCGGUCAGAACUCAUGCUUCUGCGCCUGAGGCUGCGGGAGCGCAAGAACGACCCCCCCUCAUUUCUGACGCUGCUGAAGGAAAUUCGUGAGGAGGAGGAGCAGGAAGCUACUCGAGAGACAUUGAACGCUCGCAGUAACCUUGCGUAUACCUCUGCAAACCCCAAUGCAAGUCACCCUGAAAUGAAACAACUGCAAACCCAGAUGAAGGAGUUACAGACCAACAUGGCAACCUUGCUGAAGCAAAAGCAAGAACAACCUAUUGCUCCUGCGAAGGAUGGAGAGAAAACCCUCGCUAAGUGUCUGGCAACGCCUCCUGAAGCCAAGAGCGAGACUGAAGAGCUUAAACGGGUCAUUCUCCAGCUACAGAAGCAGGUUAGCUAGUUGGCUGUGAAACCUGAGGUCCCUGUAAGAAAGGAACCAUGUCAAAGGACUCCAGAGUCAGUUCGCAAGAGUUUUUCCCCUGAGAAGAAAUACUCCACAGACCGGGACACCUUCUUUUGUUAUCGGUGUGGAGAGGACGGGCACAUUGCUACGCAUUGUGAGGCCCCGGAAGAUCUUAACAGAGUGAACCAGAAGCUACUUCGUUCGAUGCGGAAGCGCAGGGGAGACAGUGGAGGCUCCCGAACACCACCUCCUACAAAUGCUGAAGCGAAGAUCUCUGUGAAGAAGGCCACCUCACAGUUGGACAACAUGCCUGGCAUGCUGAGAGGACCGAUUGGGCCAACUUCAGUUGUCUCUGUAAAGAUCGAAGGUCACCCCUGUCGAGCACUUCUAGACAGCGGCUCACAGGUGACUUGUGUUUCAGGGAUGGUACCGGAAGUUUCUAUCACACUUGCCUGUCCAUCCUGUUGCUGGCCUAGCCUUAUGGGGGCUUAGUGAGAGCAGCUACCCCUAUGAGGGCUAUGUUGUAGCUGAAAUAGAGCUCCCCAAAGAAGUGGUUGGAAUCAAAGAGCCCAUUUCUGUGCUGGCGUUGAUUUGUCCUGAACCGCGAAAUCACGACCAGAUUCCAGUGAUUAUAGGAACGAAUGCCAACCUUUUCCAGCGACUUGCGAGUAUGUGUGCCGAAGCUGUGGGCCCUGACUUCGUGAAAACGUUGCACAUUCACCCCUUGUGCUCACAAGCUUACCAACGAAGAGAGAAGGUGGACCUCAAGCCUGAAGAACCCCUAGGACAUGUACACCUGGGACGGCAGGGCAUUCUGACUGUCGAACCUAAAAGUGUCUCUGACAUAGAGUGUGAGAUUAGUGGCUCUAUCCCGUAGAAUUCGACAUUCUUGUGCUUGAAACAACCCCUGACUUGAGUGUACCUGGAGGACUGCUUGUGCCCAGUGUGGUUCUGCCAGCUAAAGCGAUAAGAGCGAACAAAGUUGUGAUUCAGUUGUGCAAUGAAUCAUCACGCCCGGUAGUACUACCCAGCCGGACUGUACUAGCUCACAUAUAUAAAGUUGACAGUGUGACGGGAGUACAGAAGCCAAUGAGGUCUGCUAAAGCCUUGGACACAAAGUUAUUUGAUUUCGGUAAAUCGCCAGUUCCCUGUUAUUGGAAGAAGAGGCUUUGUGAUAAGUUGGCUAAGAGGCUUAAUGUUUUCUCCACUGAAGAAUGGGAUGUUGGACUCGCCAAUGGAGUGGAACACCGCAUUCGUCUGAGUGACCCCAGACCAUUCAGAGAACGGUCAUGGAGGAUAGCUCCAGCUGACGUUGAAGAUGUGCGUCGCCAUCUACAGCAGUUGCUAGCUGCUGGCAUUAUUACGGAGUCCCGUAGCCCUUACGCUUCUCCAAUAGUGGUGGCCAGGAAAAAGCAUGGAAUGGUAAGGAUGUGUAUUGAUUACCACACUCUGAAUCGCCGUACCAUCCCAGAUCAAUACACUACCCCCAGAAUUGAUGACGCCCUAGACUGCUUGUCAGGUAGUAAGUGGUUCUCGGUCUUAGAUCUACGCAGUGGGUACUAUCAGAUUGGCAUGGCUAGUGAAGACAAAGAGAAAACAGCUUUCAUCUGUCCGCUCGGAUUUUAUCAGUUCGAGCGCAUGCCACAGGGAAUCACUGGAGCGCCUGCGACUUUCCAGAGGCUUAUGGAGAGUGUGGUGGGAGACAUGAACCUGCUACAAGUGCUAGUGCACUUGGAUGACCUCAUAGUCUUCGGGAGAACUCUGGAGGAGCAUGAGGUGAGACUACUGAAGGUGUUGGAUCGUUUGGAAGUGCUGGUCGUCACAGAUCACUACACCCGCUAUGCUCAGGCUUUCCCUACGCGAGAUCAAAAAGCUCUGACAGUAGCAAAGAUUUUGUGGGAGAAAUUCUUUGUGUACUAUGGAUUGCCCGCCCGAAUCCAUUCGGAUCAAGGGCGUGACUUUGAGAGUCGGCUCAUCAAGGAAAUGUUGGGUUUGUUAGGGAUGGAUGGUAUCAUCCUGAAGGAGAUCCGCAGCCGGAACGUUUCAAUAAAACGUUGAUGGACAUGUUUGGGACCUUGGACGUAUCCAAGAAGAACCGGUGGAGCCAGCACAUCAGUCAACUGGUCCACGCGUACAAUUGUAUAAGGAGUGAUGCCACUGGGUAUUCACCUUAUUUCCUAAUGUUUGGGAGAGAGGCACGUUUGCCAGUGGAUCUGUGUUUCGGCAUUUCAUCUGACGAUGACACUCAAGAAGAGUACCAGCAAUAUGUAUCGAGGAUGAAGACCGAACUGAAAGAAGCAUACAGGCUUGCAAUGCAAAAUGCACAGCAGAGCCAUGAACGGAACAAAGAACGGUACGAUAGGUUAGUCCGUGAACAGCACUUGGAAGUGGGAGACCGGGUCCUACUAAGGAAUUUAGGGGUCCUGGGGAAGCAUAAGCUGGCUGAUAGAUGGAAGUCUAUUCCACAUUUGAUAGUUUCUCAGCUCCCAGACCUGUUUACCGAGUUAAACCCGAAAGAGGCAGUGGUCCUUGGAAGACACUCCAUCGGAACCACUUAUUGCCCAUUGGACAUUUGGUGAGGAUGCCUGGACCCUCAAAGGUGGCUCAGAAACCCACCGUGACUAAUAAAGGACUUAAAGGAGCCAGGGCCAGCCUUGAUCGUGAGCCAGAAAGUUCACCAAUGGAACCAGAGAUUCCAAAGAAAGUUGCAUCUUACUCAUCUGAUUCAGAAGACGAAGAGAUGCUAAGAUACUGGAAUGACCCACCAGUGUGGCCGGGGCCUACACAAAGAGAGGACCCCAGACGAUCAUCAUCACAACCGACAGUUGAUGCACAGGAGGCUGAUGAAGACUGUCUUGGAGAACCUGAAGAUGACGAAAACCAGGAUCCAGUAAUGGAAAUGCUCGAGACGGAGAAGGUUCAUGAGGUUGACGGACCUGAGGAUGAAGAAGUGGUAAAAUCUGAUGAGGAAUGGGAAGGUAGAAGAUGUCUCCGAAGAGCCAUUAAGCCAGUUGUUCGGGAGUUCCUACGGAGGAACCGCUAUUGAUUGUGCAUCGUGGUACAGGUGUGAAUGAUUAGGCGUAUCCUGUGUUGCGUGACACCUCCCCAAAAUCUCCCAUUAUAAAGAGAGAAUGUGAGUAUUGUGUGAAUGUGGUUGUACUUAAAAGUUAGUCUGUUGGGGACAACCAGACAUUUUAAGUGGGGGAGGAUGUAGCCCAGUGGUAAAAUACUACUAACGUAUAUACAGAAAUUCUGUAUAGACUAUAUCUGGAUGGCUUUAGGACCUGUUUUCAGCAGAGCAGACUCAGAGGGAGGAGAGGUGUUCUCAUGGCCAAUGAGGCGUCGUGUGUUAAACUGAUCUCCCGAGAGCCAAAUCGUCCCUGCCAGAGUGGGAGGGAGUCUCAGGGAAAAGUUUUGAAAAAAAAAAGAGAAUAGAGGGGAGUCUGAAAAAAAUAACAACGGGAGCUAGAAUAGAGCAGUACAGAGUAAGUGAUUCAGCAGAGUAAAAGUGAGGAUUUCUUAAGUCAGGAAAUUCCUAUAAACUUUAGUAGACAGUACUUCAGUUUAAACAAGUUUCAGAAGAGUAUUCUGUUACUUCUGCUUUUAUUUCUUUUGAGUUCACGUACCAAGCUCGUGUUUUAUUUUAAGCAGCGUAGGUCUGUCAGUUUACAUAGUCACUCAGUGCGAGUUAUUUUCUUUAGGCAUUGUUAUAUACAGUCUUGUUAAAACAACAUACUGUAUUGCAAAGUUUAAGUUUAUGCACCGUUAAUACGUGCUUGAAAUGAAAGUAAAGAGACAGUGACUAGAUUGUAAAAUAAACGAAGCAAUUGAGAGGCAGCUGGACAGUGUUUCAGAAGGAAGGACCACGUUUUCAGAUAGAGAGAGCGAGGUAGACUGCGGCGACAGAGAGGUUUGCCGUGAUCCAGAGACCGCAAGCAACCGAGAGCUACAACUGGGAGAAGCCUUUCAGAAUUGUGAGUUUUUCCACAAAGUGUUUUGUUUUAAAAUAGCAAGCAUAACUGUGUAUCUCCAAUAAAGCUUGCGAAGGGGCCAUUUUGUUUUAUUUCUAGGCCACAACGUACCCAAGCCACGAUUCAGGCCUGCAACAGUGUUUGUUUGUUCGUCUGUCUACAUGUGUGUUACACGUGGGGCUGGAGUGCACUCGACUAGCGUUUAUUUUGAAUAGAAUAUAUUGGAAGAGUACAUUUGAGUUAAAUACCACUGAAGCAUAGAGCUUUUAGUUACUGUUUAGUGACUUAAAAAGUUACAUUUUGGGGAAAGUAUUUUGUGGUUGGAAUUUUUUAUAUUGUAUGUACAGUUUACUUACCUGCAGUUCAUUAUAUUAGUUUAACUUGAAUCCCCAUUUAUAAAGAUUAUUUUUAUAUAAAAUUCAGUACUGUGUGUGAGUGUGAUUUUAUUAGUUGUAUAUUGCUCUUGCUUAAUUUGCAUUUGUUAUAUGGUUGAAUAUAAGAUCCUGUGGACGCGUGCCAAUAAUAGGGAAACCACGUGACCAUCAGGUGGAGGCAUCGCCAAAGAAGAAAAGUAAGUGUGAUAGUUUAUGUCUGGUAACAGUGUGCAAAAACAAAAGGACCAUUGGUUCUGGGAUAAUAGAUAAGAAUCCAGGGCCCUUACUGUUAGGUGCAAGGCCUAUUUGUGUAAGGGUAAGUGAGACAAGUGUUACAGAAUGAACCGUUGGAAAGGCUGAUUGCACAUUGUGGGGAAUCUGAAAAGAUGUAUAGGAUAGUAAUCUUUGAAUUUAAGACCUGAAACGUCGAUAAAGCACUUGGAUUGGUCUCCGUUCUAUCGCAGAGAAAAUGUCUGGUCUGUUCAAAUCGUACUUAGGGUACUACAGUACUUUGCAUGCAAAAAUAUCCUAAAUAACAUUAGUUUUCGGAAAACGCUUUGUCAUGUAAACGUACCGAGUUAGAAUCACUAUACCUUUUAGAGUAACUACACUUGAACUUUUAGUUUAUAUUAUUUGUUUGUAUUUUUUUUAAAUUUAUAUUAUUAUUAUUAUUAUUAUUAUUUUAUUUAUUUUUAACUGUAGGCUUACCUUUUACCUCUAUUUUCUUCUUUCUUUGAUUUCUUUCUUUCUUCCUUCCUUUUUCUUUCCUAAUUCUCUCCUCUCUCUCCUCUUCUUCCCUCCUCUGUCUCUCUGUGUUUCUGUUUAUUUCCUUUGCUCUGUGGAUCCUGGGUGGGUUUGAUUAUUUUUCUUCUGUUUUCAUGUGCUUGUUAUUUUUGUUUAAAUUAUUUAUUUUCUAUUUUAAUUCAAUAUUUGUUUACAUAUCUUUGUGUUAUUAAUUUAGCAUUCAAUUUCACUAAGAAAUAGUAUAAAUACAAAUUCUUCAGGAGCACAUCUUUUUGGUGACUGCUCACACGGAAUCUCUCUCUCUCUCUCUCUCUCUCUCUCUCUCUCUCUCUCUCUCUCUCUCUCUCUCUCUCCUCAGACCCCACUGCUGGUAAAGCUCCUCCAUACAGACGGGCUGCAUUGGUCCUGGCAGGGCUGUGCGCUCUCUCAGUGGCUGCCAAUAUAUUCCUCACAGUCUACAUUUCUAACUUGACCGUGGAGAGAAAACAAAUCCAAUAUCGGCAUUCAGAACUGGAGAAGAACUACAGCAACAUCUCGGAGAAAUACUCGGCACUGGACCAGUACUGUCCCAUCACAGACACCUCUUCCAAGG
RNA transcript from Acipenser ruthenus (sterlet), 8667 nucleotides. It is a transcript of the gene named C-type lectin domain family 4 member E-like, with no coding region annotated. The transcript is spliced from 2 exons. Lineage: Eukaryota; Metazoa; Chordata; Actinopteri; Acipenseriformes; Acipenseridae. The record is from RefSeq and is a predicted model, not a curated record.